UACGUAGGGUGCGAGCGUUGCCCGGAUUUAUUGGGCGUAAAGAGCUCGUAGGCGGUUCCGUAAGUCGGGUGUGAAAAAUCUGGGCUCAACCCAGUGGAGCACCCGAUACUGCGGUGACUCGAGUCCGGUAGGGGAGUGUGGAAUUCCUGGUGUAGCGGUGAAAUGCGCAGAUAUCAGGAGGAACACCGACGGCGAAGGCAGCACUCUGGGCCGGUACUGACGCUGAGGAGCGAAAGCAUGGGGAGCGAACAGG
This 253-nucleotide ribosomal RNA is filed under the name uncultured bacterium. Its description in RNAcentral is "partial 16S ribosomal RNA". It matches the Rfam family "Bacterial small subunit ribosomal RNA", at positions 524 to 776 of the family's 1533-position model. The record is from RNAcentral.